RNAcentral lists this ribosomal RNA (473 nucleotides) under uncultured bacterium. Its description in RNAcentral is "bacterial SSU rRNA". It matches the Rfam family "Bacterial small subunit ribosomal RNA", at positions 30 to 523 of the family's 1533-position model. The record is from RNAcentral.
AUUGAACGCUGGCGGCAUGCCUAACACAUGCAAGUCGAACGGAGGUAGGGGCAACUCUACUUCAGUGGCGGACGGGUGAGGAAUGCGUCGGAAUCUACCCUAUGGUGGGGGAUAACACAGGGAAACUUGUGCUAAUACCGCAUAAUGUCGAGAGACCAAAGCAGGGGACCGCAAGGCCUUGCGCGAUAGGAUGAGCCGACGCCCGAUUAGCUUGUUGGUAGGGUAAUGGCCUACCAAGGCGACGAUCGGUAGCUGGUCUGAGAGGAUGAUCAGCCACACUGGGACUGAGACACGGCCCAGACUCCUACGGGAGGCAGCAGUGGGGAAUAUUGGACAAUGGGCGCAAGCCUGAUCCAGCAAUGCCGCGUGUGUGAAGAAGGCCUGCGGGUUGUAAAGCACUUUUGUUCGGGAAGAAAUCAUGCUGGUACCUGCAGAAGAAGCCCCGGCUAACUACGUGCCAGCAGCCGCGGUAA